This is a non-coding RNA of Manis javanica (Malayan pangolin), 318 nucleotides long. NCBI's taxonomy places the organism in Eukaryota, Metazoa, Chordata, Mammalia, Pholidota, Manidae. The record is from RefSeq and is a predicted model, not a curated record.
GUGAGAACUAAAAACCUGAAAAGCCCUGGAAAUCAAGGUGGCAGAACUGGUUUGCUGACAGGAUACAGUAGAAAGGUUUUGCUCAUACCUUGUCAAUCUUUGGCAGAUAUGCAGUGGAUGAUCCAGUAGAGAACAGUAGUGAUGGGACAAUCGGAGAUGCGGUUCUCUUCUCUAGAAGAACUAUAGAGAUCAUCUCAACACAAUCUUCAGUCAAAGAGCUGAGUCUGGGGCCACCCAGGUAUGGAUGAUUGAAGUGAAUGGAGCCUAAUAAAUUAACUGAAGUUCCCAGCAUUUUGGAGAUGGGAUCUUCCCUAUUGG